This 50-nucleotide transfer RNA is filed under the name Leptotrombidium pallidum. RNAcentral's name for it is "tRNA-Val". The record is from RNAcentral. Lineage: Eukaryota; Metazoa; Arthropoda; Arachnida; Trombidiformes; Trombiculidae.
UAAUAUAAAUGAAAUUUUUACAAAAUUUCCUACCUAUUUAGGUAUAUUAU